UAUAAGGGAUUUUGAGUUUUUGCUUACAGUGUUUGACCACUCGUCUUAUUCAAAAAGUUUUGUAAUUAUUAUUUACUUUUUUUUACUUACUUUACUAUCCAAAAUACUUUACACACAACUAUUCGUUUUUUAUAUUUGCAUAAAUUUUUUAAAUAAGAUGAGUGGUCAAACACUGUAAGCAAAAACUUAAAAUCCCUUAUA
RNAcentral lists this microRNA precursor (201 nucleotides) under Oryza sativa Japonica Group (Japanese rice). RNAcentral describes it as "MIR812 microRNA precursor family". It matches the Rfam family "MIR812 microRNA precursor family". The record is from Rfam by way of RNAcentral. Lineage: Eukaryota; Viridiplantae; Streptophyta; Magnoliopsida; Poales; Poaceae.